This 74-nucleotide transfer RNA is filed under the name Lepisosteus oculatus (spotted gar). It matches the Rfam family "tRNA". Rfam says of the family: Transfer RNA (tRNA) molecules are approximately 80 nucleotides in length. Lineage: Eukaryota; Metazoa; Chordata; Actinopteri; Semionotiformes; Lepisosteidae. The record is from Rfam by way of RNAcentral.
GACUCCAUGGCUUAGCUGGUUAAAGUGCCUGCCUAUUAAACAGAAGAUCCUGGCUCCGAUUCCCAGUGGUGCCC